RNAcentral lists this ribosomal RNA (734 nucleotides) under Escherichia coli. Its description in RNAcentral is "partial 23S ribosomal RNA". It matches the Rfam family "Bacterial large subunit ribosomal RNA", at positions 582 to 1315 of the family's 2925-position model. The record is from RNAcentral. Lineage: Bacteria; Pseudomonadati; Pseudomonadota; Gammaproteobacteria; Enterobacterales; Enterobacteriaceae.
CGCUUAGGCGUGUGACUGCGUACCUUUUGUAUAAUGGGUCAGCGACUUAUAUUCUGUAGCAAGGUUAACCGAAUAGGGGAGCCGAAGGGAAACCGAGUCUUAACUGGGCGUUAAGUUGCAGGGUAUAGACCCGAAACCCGGUGAUCUAGCCAUGGGCAGGUUGAAGGUUGGGUAACACUAACUGGAGGACCGAACCGACUAAUGUUGAAAAAUUAGCGGAUGACUUGUGGCUGGGGGUGAAAGGCCAAUCAAACCGGGAGAUAGCUGGUUCUCCCCGAAAGCUAUUUAGGUAGCGCCUCGUGAAUUCAUCUCCGGGGGUAGAGCACUGUUUCGGCAAGGGGGUCAUCCCGACUUACCAACCCGAUGCAAACUGCGAAUACCGGAGAAUGUUAUCACGGGAGACACACGGCGGGUGCUAACGUCCGUCGUGAAGAGGGAAACAACCCAGACCGCCAGCUAAGGUCCCAAAGUCAUGGUUAAGUGGGAAACGAUGUGGGAAGGCCCAGACAGCCAGGAUGUUGGCUUAGAAGCAGCCAUCAUUUAAAGAAAGCGUAAUAGCUCACUGGUCGAGUCGGCCUGCGCGGAAGAUGUAACGGGGCUAAACCAUGCACCGAAGCUGCGGCAGCGACGCUUAUGCGUUGUUGGGUAGGGGAGCGUUCUGUAAGCCUGUGAAGGUGUGCUGUGAGGCAUGCUGGAGGUAUCAGAAGUGCGAAUGCUGACAUAAGUAACGAUAA